ACUCUGUGUGUGUGUGUGUGUGUGUGUGUGUGUACACACACACACACACACACACACACAUUUUUAUAUAGUAC
This 74-nucleotide microRNA precursor is filed under the name Podarcis lilfordi (Lilford's wall lizard). Lineage: Eukaryota; Metazoa; Chordata; Lepidosauria; Squamata; Lacertidae. The record is from RNAcentral.